AAAAACAAAAUUAUUAACAUUCUUAUCCCUAAAACCGUUUCUAAAAAAUUUGAAGCGACAACACCGGAACUUAAGCGCCUGAGCCAUACGCAUAGUGUCAUCUGUCAAACGGCUUUUUGUUUAUGUUCGGGAUUCGUGUAUUUUCUUUAAUUUUUUGGUUUCAAAAGGAAAAAGACCACAUUUUAGUGUUUUUUUAAAUUGCUAGGAUGGCAAAAACGUGUGUCGUUUGUGCCGCAUCAUGAUAAAAAGGUGAUUCAAGCCGAUCUUUUCACAAGAUUUCUGAUGCACUGGUUAAAAACACAACAGCCGAUAAGUCAGUUAAUUUACUAAGUGAAUGACCCUUCAAAGCUGCAAGGGUAGUUUUCCUGAAGAGUGCAAAAACUUCUUUAGCUUCCAAAAUGGUAUAUAGUACAAACAGUGAAGCUAAUAUAGACAAAUCUGAUCAUUCAUCAUCAACAAUAACUGCUUCUGAGAUUAAUAGUUACUGUGGGGUCUAGGUCAACAAUUACUAUUUCCCAUCCAAUCCGUUUUUGUUUAACUGCUACACAUUCCCUGACUCUGCCAAGGAAAAGGUAAAAAUACACUCAAAAUAGACAUCAUUAUAGCACAUUUAAAAAUUAUUGUUCAAUUCUUUCUCUAAGUACAAAUAAGACUUUUAUGCCAUGUAUCAUCUUAUUCUAUAUAUCUUAUUUAAAAGUGAUAUAGUAUUUUAUUGUGUUAUAUUUGUA
This is a long non-coding RNA of Anthonomus grandis grandis, 728 nucleotides long. RefSeq lists it as uncharacterized. The record is from RefSeq and is a predicted model, not a curated record. NCBI's taxonomy places the organism in Eukaryota, Metazoa, Arthropoda, Insecta, Coleoptera, Curculionidae. The transcript has 3 exons.